This 368-nucleotide ribosomal RNA is filed under the name uncultured bacterium. Its description in RNAcentral is "bacterial SSU rRNA". It matches the Rfam family "Bacterial small subunit ribosomal RNA", at positions 32 to 377 of the family's 1533-position model. The record is from RNAcentral.
AAUCAACGCUGGCGGCGUGCCUCAGACAUGCAAGUCGAACGCGAAAGGGCCCCUUCGGGGGCCCGGUAGAGUGGCGCACGGGUGAGUAACACGUAGGUAAUUUGCCUUCGGUGGGGAAGUAACAGCCGGAAACGGACUGCUAAUACCGCAUAAUGCGAGCGGCUCGACAUCGAGACAGUUGUUAAAGCGGGGGAUCGCAAGACCUCGCGCCUGAAGAGAAGCCUGCGGCAGAUAGUCUUGUUGGUGAGGUAAUGCUCACCAAGGCGACGAUCUGUAACCGGCCUGAGAGGGCGGUCGGUCACACUGACACUGACAUACGGGUCAGACUCCUACGGGAGGCAGCAGUCGGGAAUUUUGGGCAAUGGGCG